This 582-nucleotide long non-coding RNA is filed under the name Equus asinus (donkey). Its description in RNAcentral is "lncRNA (ENSEASG00005023735.1)". The record is from RNAcentral. Lineage: Eukaryota; Metazoa; Chordata; Mammalia; Perissodactyla; Equidae.
CCUGGCUAUCCUGACCCCUGAUCCUGUGCCCUUUUGACUUCACGACUUUACCUCUGUGUUUACUGCGGCUGGGGACAGAAGGCGGCUGACCACUCCCUCCCGGCCUCUUGAUCUUCUGUGGGUCUGGCUUUUUGCAGGAUCAGCUCACAGCUCCUGGCUCUGCAGUGCAAACCAUCACCACACGCCCUGUGACCACCUCAGUGUCUCUACCAGCGAAAUGCGGUUGGCAGCGCUCUCCCUGUCUGCGGCAAUGCCAGAGUCUGAUGAUGGAGGGCAAGUCAGGAAGGGACAUGGGAGCCGCUCACUGUGGUCGAUUGCUGCCUCUUCCUUGGCGGACCCCAUGGCCUUGGCAUGGGAGCAUGGCGGAGUGCUGACGUCAGCAAGUCAAUGUAAGCGUUUGCAGUAUAGCCUGUGGCUGCUGAGGCGAACUUGAUGUAUUAAGCAAUAUUAAAAAUGCAUCUCUUUUUGAUAAUUUAUUAUGCACAUUCUCAUAAACACAUUCCACUCGUCACAGUACAUUUACUAACACUCGGCCUACCAGCGGGGAAAAGUUAACACGCACCUAAUGAUGUUGUUUUGCAG